AGAGUUUGAUCAUGGCUCAGAGCGAACGCUAGCGGCAGGCCUAACACAUGCAAGUCGAACGGUAAGGCCCCUUCGGGGGUACACGAGUGGCGCACGGGUGCGUAACGCGUAUGCAACCUACCUGUAACAGGGGGAUAGCCCCGAGAAAUCGGGAUUAAUACCCCAUACAAUCAAGAGAUGGCAUCAACUUUUGAUAAAAGCUUAGGUGGUUACAGAUGGGCAUGCGUGACAUUAGCUGGUUGGUGAGGUAAAGGCUCACCAAGGCGACGAUGUCUAGGGGGUCUGAGAGGAUGAUCCCCCACACUGGUACUGAGACACGGACCAGACUCCUACGGGAGGCAGCAGUGAGGAAUAUUGCGCAAUGGACGAAAGUCUGACGCAGCCAUGCCGCGUGAAGGAAGACGGCCCUAUGGGUUGUAAACUUCUUUUCUGGAGGAAGCAAAUAGUUUACGAGUAGAAUAUUGACGGUACUUCAGGAAUAAGCAUCGGCUAACUCCGUGCCAGCAGCCGCGGUAAUACGGAGGAUGCAAGCGUUAUCCGGAUUCAUUGGGUUUAAAGCGUGCGCAGGCGGAAUGAUAAGUCAGGGGUGAAAUCCCACAGCUCAACUGUGGAACUGCCUUUGAUACUGUCAAUCUUGAGUAUGGUUGAGGUAGGCGGAAUGUAGUAUGUAGCGGUGAAAUGCAUAGAUAUACUACAGAACACCGAUAGCGAAGGCAGCUUACCAAGCCAAUACUGACGCUCAGGCACGAAAGCGUGGGGAGCGAACAGGAUUAGAUACCCUGGUAGUCCACGCCGUAAACGUUGAUCACUCGUUGUUGGCGAUAGACAGUCAGCGACCAAGCGAAAGCGAUAAGUGAUCCACCUGGGGAGUACGAUCGCAAGGUUGAAACUCAAAGGAAUUGACGGGGGCCCGCACAAGCGGAGGAGCAUGUGGUUUAAUUCGAUGAUACGCGAGGAACCUUACCUGGGCUUAAAUGUAGUGUGCAUGAGAGAGAAAUCUUUCUUACCUUCGGGACUCACUACAAGGUGCUGCAUGGUUGUCGUCAGCUCGUGCCGUGAGGUGUCGGGUUAAGUCCCAUAACGAGCGCAACCCCUAUUUUUAGUUGCUAACAGGUUAAGCUGAGGACUCUAAAGAAACUGCCCGCGCAAGCGGAGAGGAAGGUGGGGAUGACGUCAAAUCAGCACGGCCCUUAUGUCCAGGGCUACACACGUGCUACAAUGGCAGGCACAAUGGGCAGCGAAGAUGCGAGUCGGAGCUAAUCUUAAAAGUCUGUCCCAGUCCGGAUUGGAGUCGGAAACCCGACUCCAUGAAGCUGGAUUCGCUAGUAAUCGCACAUCAGCCAUGGUGCGGUGAAUACGAUCCCGGGCCUUGUACACACCGCCCGUCAAGCCAUGGAAGCUGGGGGUACCUGAAGGCUGUAACCGCAAGGAGCGGUCUAAGGUAGAACCAGUAACUGGGGCUAAGUCGUAACAAGGUA
RNAcentral lists this ribosomal RNA (1478 nucleotides) under uncultured bacterium. Its description in RNAcentral is "bacterial SSU rRNA". It matches the Rfam family "Bacterial small subunit ribosomal RNA". The record is from RNAcentral.